GAGUGCUUUAUAUAAUUGUUCUG
RNAcentral lists this small nuclear RNA (23 nucleotides) under Arabidopsis thaliana (thale cress). RNAcentral describes it as "snRNA_01236". Lineage: Eukaryota; Viridiplantae; Streptophyta; Magnoliopsida; Brassicales; Brassicaceae. The record is from RNAcentral.